This 254-nucleotide ribosomal RNA is filed under the name uncultured bacterium. RNAcentral's name for it is "partial 16S ribosomal RNA". It matches the Rfam family "Bacterial small subunit ribosomal RNA", at positions 524 to 776 of the family's 1533-position model. The record is from RNAcentral.
UACGUAGGGACCGAGCGUUGUCCGGAUUCAUUGGGCGUAAAGAGCUCGUAGGCGGCUGUUCAAGUCGAACGUGAAAACUCGGAGCUCAACUCCGAGCCUGCGUUCGAUACUGGACGGCUAGAGUCUGGUAGGGGGAUCGUGGAAUUCCUGGUGUAGCGGUGGAAUGCGCAGAUAUCAGGAGGAACACCCGUGGCGAAGGCGGCCCUCUGGCUCGACCCUGACGCUGAGAGGCGAAAGCGUGGGGAGCGAACGGG